This is a long non-coding RNA of Gallus gallus (chicken), 610 nucleotides long. NCBI's taxonomy places the organism in Eukaryota, Metazoa, Chordata, Aves, Galliformes, Phasianidae. The record is from Ensembl.
CCGGGAGCCGGGCGGUGCGAGCGCCUCGCCUCGAGCUGCGGGCUCCAUCGAUCUGACGCACCGCACUGCGCUCCGUUUUAUCUAUCUAAUUUAACCGGAAGAGGGGAGAUUUAGACUGGGUAUAAGGUUUUUGACGAUAAGGGCUGUGAGGCACUGGCACAGGUUGCCCAGAGGGGUGGUGGAUGCCACAUCCCUGGUGACAUCCAGGGUUGGACUGAACGGGGCUCUGAGCAACUUGAUCCAGCUGUAGGUGUCCCUGUUCAUUGCAGGGGAGUCGGACUAAAUGGUCUGUAAGGCCCGCUGAGCAGAAGAAGAGAGCAAGAUGAACUCCUACCCCCCUUCAAAACUCCUUCACAAAAUCAAAUGAACCAAAACAUAGCAUCAUACCAGACACUUUGAAGGAAACAAUUCCAUCCCAGCUGAAGCAAAGGCAGAUGGCCAUGAUCCCACACCUUGGAUUUGUCCCCAGGCAUCAGGAGCUGUUCAGUACCUGUCCUGCGUGUGGCUACACAGGGUUUUUAUAGGAAUUACAGAUAGAUGAAAAGGCUGUCUCCUCCACCGAAACCCUCUAAGCACUUUUCCAUUGCAUGCAUCCAUUAUGCAAAACGAG